UACGUAGGGGGCGAGCGUUGUCCGAAGUUACUGGGCGUAAAGCGCGCGUAGGCGGGCAAUUAAGUGAGAAGUGAAAGGCUGGGGCUCAACCUCAUGCAGUGCUUCUCAUACUGGUUUUCUUGAGGGCGGUAGAGAAAAGUGGAAUGGCUGGUGUAGCGGUGAAAUGCGCAGAUAUCAGGAGGAACACCAAUUGCGAAGGCAGCUCGCUGGAACGUAACUGACGCUGAGACGCGAAAGCGUGGGGAGCAAACAGG
This 254-nucleotide ribosomal RNA is filed under the name uncultured bacterium. RNAcentral's name for it is "partial 16S ribosomal RNA". It matches the Rfam family "Bacterial small subunit ribosomal RNA", at positions 524 to 776 of the family's 1533-position model. The record is from RNAcentral.